UUGAUUAUUUCUCAUACCAACUCAGUCGUAUAAUGUAAAACAGGAUUUGGGGGGUCUCUGGGAGCACGUGCAGAUCGACGAGAGGGCCGACCUACAGCCCGGCCCACAGGGGGCCGGGCGUCUCCCAAAGCAACAGGUAUAAGUAAACAGGGUGUGAAGGUUGCAUCGCUGCAACUUCUUGGUAAUGAUCCCUCCGCAGGUUCACCUACGGAGA
RNAcentral lists this unclassified non-coding RNA (214 nucleotides) under uncultured fungus. RNAcentral's name for it is "sequence contains ITS1". Lineage: Eukaryota; Fungi. The record is from RNAcentral.